This is a non-coding RNA of Heterocephalus glaber (naked mole-rat), 518 nucleotides long. Lineage: Eukaryota; Metazoa; Chordata; Mammalia; Rodentia; Bathyergidae. The record is from RefSeq and is a predicted model, not a curated record.
AUCCUGCUGAGCUCACAACACUGAUUGUUUUAUGAGAUUUAAGGAUUCUUUGGAUGACAGAAUAUGACCCAAUGAGACUUGGAGAGAUGAAAGGCAGAUUUUCUUCUUCCAUACAACUACUACUGAGACAGGUGUGGCUCUUGUGUCAGGAUAAACCACGAUGCUGGUUACUUCAAUCAAGGCACUGACAUUCAUCUUGCCAGUGAUUUCCUUGGAACUGGGAAAAUGAGGCUGCGAGAUGGGAGGAAGAAGACAAUAUCUAAAAUCGGGAUGGGGACAAAAUAAGUGGCAUGCAUGGUGGCAGUGCGUAGAAUGGAAAUCUAAGGGGAAGUGGGCACAUUGGAAGAAAGAAGGAUUCUUACAGCAGUGUACACAGGUGGAAACCCCAUCUAGCCUGCCAGGCUGCUGUAUAAUGGAGCAGAGAAGUGAACGCAAUUGUGACCUCAAAAUCUAUGAGAUUAUUCAGUAGACUUGUUAAGUUGACACAAGGGCUGGUUAAAUUUAAUGCUACGAAGCUG